CUACGGGGUGCUCCAGUGGGGAAUAUUGCACAAUGGGGGAAACCCUGAUGCAGCAACGCCGCGUGGAGGAUGACACAUUUCGGUGCGUAAACUCCUUUUAUAUAAGAAGAUAAUGACGGUAUUAUAUGAAUAAGCUCCGGCUAACUCCGUGCCAGCAGCCGCGGUAAUACGGGGGGAGCAAGCGUUACUCGGAAUCACUGGGCGUAAAGAGCAUGUAGGCGGGUAAAAAAGUUGGAAGUGAAAUCCACUGGCUUAACCAGUGAACUGCUUCCAAAACUCUUUACCUAGAAUAUGGGAGAGGUAGAUGGAAUUUCUGGUGUAGGGGUAAAAUCCGUAGAGAUCAGAAGGAAUACCGAUUGCGAAGGCGAUCUACUGGAACAUUAUUGACGCUGAGAUGCGAAAGCGUGGGGAGCAAACAGGAUUAGAUACCCGCGUAGUC
Molecule: ribosomal RNA, 439 nt
Filed under: uncultured bacterium
Lineage: Bacteria
Description: partial 16S ribosomal RNA
Rfam family: Bacterial small subunit ribosomal RNA
Source: RNAcentral